AUCCGUGUAAUUUACCAAAGUCACUAUUAUCAUAUCUCGGCGUUUCCGCCCUUGUUUGGAACUACUGAAUGUUGUUGUCUCCGCCACUGUCGAUUUAUCUAUUGCAAAGUCAUAAUUGAUAAUGGAGCUGCUAAGAUCGCUGCUGCCGCCAUGAAUUGGGGAUAAAGGGGAUUAUUGAGUUAAAUUCUGCGAUUGAAACAUCGAGGUAGGGGUUUUCUUAAAUUCUAUUUUAUAUUACAGAGUUGUGAUAAAUAGAUAUUGAUGCAAAGAGAUUUACUUCUGUGAUUAUAUUUGUCUUAUGGAUGUGAUGGUUUGUUGGACUGAAUUAUUGGGUGCUUGAUUGCGUGAGUGGUGUGUGGUUGUGGAUAAAAACCGGUUUGGAAUGUCAUUUACUUGAUUAUUAAGA
Arachis ipaensis is the source of this 406-nucleotide non-coding RNA. The record is from RefSeq and is a predicted model, not a curated record. Lineage: Eukaryota; Viridiplantae; Streptophyta; Magnoliopsida; Fabales; Fabaceae.